Molecule: long non-coding RNA, 1334 nt
Organism: Mus caroli (Ryukyu mouse)
Lineage: Eukaryota; Metazoa; Chordata; Mammalia; Rodentia; Muridae
Source: RefSeq, a predicted model, not a curated record
UUGAAAAGGAAAAAGAUGAAAUAUAUGUUUAUAUAUAACUCUCUACAUACCUCAUUGAAGUCAAAAUGCAUUUAAUUGUGUACGUAGCUUUUAAAUGAGAAACGGUACUGGCUUUUUUUUUUCUCCUUUCUUAAAAAAAAAAGUGACAGAAAUCCUAGUGACUUUGGGGGGAGAGAUAUGAAUAGAUGAUUGAGUUUUUUUCCAAGGAGUCCAUGUUUGAUUCUCUCCUUUGCCCAGCCCUCAGUGUUCUGUGAUUGUUGUCAAUUUUAUCUCUACUCUUUCCCUUCCUCUCCUCCAGUGGCUUCCUUGUAAAAUCGUCUGACUUGAGAAAUUAAUUUGGUGGUGACUAGGUCAGAUUUUUAGGAGAAAGAGGAGAGGGUCGGAUCUGAAGAUUGUGAAAUUCUUUUCUCCUGUGUCAUCGAACGCCUCUUCCUCCAUGACCUUCGACACUGAUAAAGUAGAAGAAACUGAGGCACGGGGAGAGGAAGGCAGCUGAGAAGAGAGGAAUGAGGGAGACAAAGUCUAGCUGCGUAGCCCGGGUUCCUCGGCUUCCCCAGUGCACGUCUGUAGGCACGCACCCACCAUGCCUAGGUCUUCAGGAGACAGACUCGGACUGUACACAGGCCUUCUUUUGAGAAUAAUGAUCAAACAUCUCCAUAUCAUGUAUACUGUCCUUCAUUUUUGCUUCGUAAACGACCCGUGUUCCUGAACCUCCUCACUUGCUGGUUAGAUGUCUGUCUUCCUCUCUGUUCCCACCUCUGCUCUGGAUUGGCUGACCUUCUGUCUGCCUGGCCCGUAUCCCUCCAUCAUCUCGUCUGCCUGCAGAACUACUGAGUGUUGGUAAAUUGUGUGGCACCGUGUCCGUGUCGAGCAUUACUUUGUCUUCUGUCUUACCCAGUCCCUCCAUCACUGUCUGCUUCCUCUCCCUGUGUGUUGGUCUUGGGAAUGCCACCUGCUUCUCGUGGCUGUUUCUCUUUUUCCUUGAUAGCCCGUUGUUCCGCAUUUCUCUCUCUGCUCCAUUCUUGUCUCUUUCCUUCUGUGUUCACGAGUUCCUCUGUAUUUCUUUUGUCCAUUUGUUUUCUGUCCUUGGGCCUUUUGUCUGUGAUUGUUUCACUGUCUCUGAUGCCUGUCCCCUGCUAACCAUGUCAGUGUGGGCAUCUGCUCUCUCUUUCUAUACUUCCAAAAGUAAGGCAGGUUGGAAUCUCUUGGUGAUUACUUCUUGUUUUUAUUGGAAGAAUGUUUGGGGAGAAAAAGGAGCAUACAAAUAUGCAGUUAUCCCACACAGACUAGAGGUUGAGAGACCUCCCAGUAUAGACUAAGGAGCAUGUGAAACA